Molecule: long non-coding RNA, 1963 nt
Organism: Astatotilapia calliptera (eastern happy)
Lineage: Eukaryota; Metazoa; Chordata; Actinopteri; Cichliformes; Cichlidae
Source: Ensembl
ACGGAGGGGGUCAGUCGUUGGGAUGCGCAUGCGCAGACAGAGUGUGCGAGCGGCGGGCCUUGACCUUUUGGGGGAAAAAAACUCACGGACGGUGACAGCGAAACGGAUAACAGUCUUCAGUACCUGCUGGACUUUGAAGCUGUGGAUUCUGGGACUGUUAGAAAAGCUCCAACAAAAUGAGGAAGAGGAGAAACACAAUUAGGUUGAAUUACAAUUGGAUGGAAGGCGAGGACAAGGAGAAGGAAGCUUAGGAUGAGGAGGAAGAGAAGCAGCAGGAGCAUCUUUAGGGAUCCCUAUGAUGUCAUUGAGAGGCGGCGGCGAGAGGGGAGACCUCUGCUCAUCCAGCUGGAGAGCCUGACCAGGAGGAGUCGAACAUUAACUCAGCUCUUUCAGGGCACCCUGCAGACUCGGCUGUUGGCAUCGACGAGGGAUGACGUGAACGCCAAACUGGAGUCCAUCACAGGUCAACUGCAGCUCCUUGUCUCAGAGUGGGAGGGGUUUGAAGCACAAAGGGAGGAACUUGUCGUUUGGUUGGCUGAUAUGGAUGUGAGGUUGACCAGCUGACAGGAAACACCAGUGAAAAACUGAAACAACUGCAGGUGUGGGCUUGUUUUGAUAUGACAUAUAUUUGAUAUGAUACAUACAUCAGAGACAUUGUCCUAAACUGGACUAACAAAGGACAAUGAGUACAACAUGAAACGUCCAUUACAUAGCGUAAGGCUGUAGUUCAUUGAUCAUUUUAAUCAUAAACUUGUUGAAAUGUUUUUACUGAACAUGCAAACAUCUGCUGAUGAAAAUGUGUUGAUUUAUUGGUCUGUUAUGAAGCUAUUUGUAACCCAGUUCCUAAAAUCAUCUCAAACAGAAAGAGAAGAAAAAUUAAAACAUUUAAUGUUCAUUGUUCUGUUCUUACUGUCCCGGUUAAUGAAAGUGAAAUGAGAUCAAAAUAAUUAUUUAAACAUAGAAGGGAUGCAGAUUAUAUAUGAUAUGCUCUGGUCAAACAAGGGUUAAGUUUCUCAGAGGGUUGAUGAGCUCUGAUGAGAGCCUAUUGUUUUACUCCACUCCUCACAUGUCAGCCAAUCGGUGAAGCUCUAGGCAGCUCUUGUCCCUCCUUAGUACCAGCUCCCAAGUUUUCAGUCUCUUGCUUCUACAGCCGAACAGAGCAGACGGACUAAAACUUUUGUUAUCGGUAAGCUGGAGAAAUUAACCUCUAACGAGUUAAAAGAAAUACCAUCUAAACUGAUAUUUUUCACAAAUUAUGUAUUUGCACUUGUUGUUGUCAAGGGCAGAGCGAAACCGGAGGGUUUACUGAGCUGUGGCUCCAUGUAAAUGCUGAGCAUCCACUCGACGGCGGUCAGGUUUUUAUAUGGGACGAAUCCAAAGACCAGGUCAGCGAUUCCAGAACCCAGAGUGUUCCAGUGUUCACUGGAUGGCGAGCCAACCCAAGAUCCUAGGAGGCGAUAUACAUAUACACGCACGAUCAUUUGCACAUUGAUGGACUACAAUCCUCUACUGUACAAGUAGUACGGUAGGACAGACAAUCACACACACACACUCCUUGUCAGACGAAUUCUAUGGGCCCCACCGGUACCAUUUGGACUUAAAAAAGACUAAUUCUUUUACUUGUGCACAAUUUUAUUUAAUUCUAUUUUUUUUUUGCUACUUUGGGGGAAAUUUUUAUACUUGACAUUCUGUUAAAACCUGUUGUAAUACUGUGUUGUUUACAAAUUUCUUUUACAAGGCUUAACAUCACUAAAGUACUUUUAAAGCCACAUAACUGUGUUUGUCUGGUUUCUCUGCCAUUCGUGUACCAGAGCUCUAAGAGUCGUUCUCAGUCUUCUGACACUAGCCCAAAUUGCUUAUUACUUUGGUAAUUAUCCAUUGGUACUUUAUGUAACUCCACGUAAGUGCUACAUAUUGCUAUUUCUAAUGUGUUUUAUCACUUUCUGAUGUUUUAUUAAUUAAA